Long non-coding RNA from Gasterosteus aculeatus aculeatus (three-spined stickleback), 384 nucleotides. Lineage: Eukaryota; Metazoa; Chordata; Actinopteri; Perciformes; Gasterosteidae. The record is from Ensembl.
UCUCUUCACCACGACCAACAACAACAACAACAACAUCAACGUCAGGAGAAAGACGGCGAGCGGAGAGCGAGGUGAAGCUACGUCCCUCGACUAUGUGUGCGUGAUGCUAACAGGAGCGCGGCGAAUGCGAAUGGCGCUAUUGGCUGAUUCGAUAACGGAGAGAAGACGCCGUCGCCGAAGCUUGUGGAGCAUCAGCUGUAAGAUGCCUGGGUGAGCUCAUGACGCUAACGUGCUCAGCCAGACACGCCUGUUAGCAGAAGAACCGAGAGAAAUCGCUCACUUCCUGUUGGGAAGCUGUGGAUCCCAACUGGUCAGUGGAAGCGGCCACACUGGCAUCGAACCUGCCACAGCCAGGUGGUCGUGCCAACAACCGUGGACAGAGGA